GAAUUAAAUGGCCGCAGUAUUUUGACUGUGCAAAGGUAGCAUAAUUAUUAGUUUUUUAAUUGAAAGCUUGUAUGAAGGGUUGGACGAGAUAAAAUCUGUCUUUAUUUAAAUUACAAUAGAAUUUAACUUUUAAGUCAAAAGGCUUAAAUGUAUAUAAAAGACGAGAAGACCCUAUAGAUCUUUAUUUAAUUAAUAUUUUGAUAAUUUAAGAUUAUUUUAGUUUAAAGUUUUAAUUAAAUUUUAUUGGGGUAAUAUAGAGAUUAAAUAAAUUCUUUUUAUUUAUUACAUUGAUUUAUGAAUAUAUGAUCCAAUAUUAUUGAUUAUAAGAUUAAGUUACCUUAGGGAUAACAGCGUAAUUUUUUUGGAGAGCUCAUAUCGAUAAAAAAGUUUGCGACCUCGAUGUUGGAUUAAAAAUUAGCUUGGGUGCAGAAGCUCAAGAUUUUGGUCUGUUCGACCAUUAAAUUUUUACAUGAUCUGAGUUCAGACCGGCGUAAGCCAGGUCGGUUUCUAUCUUUAUUUAUCUAAAAUAUUUUAGUACGAAAGGACCAAAUAUUUAAUAUAAUUAUAUUUCUUUUUUGAAUAAUAUU
This 587-nucleotide ribosomal RNA is filed under the name Cicindela lusitanica. Its description in RNAcentral is "partial 16S ribosomal RNA". It matches the Rfam family "Bacterial large subunit ribosomal RNA", at positions 1920 to 2733 of the family's 2925-position model. RNAcentral also lists the same sequence under 1 other name. The record is from RNAcentral. Lineage: Eukaryota; Metazoa; Arthropoda; Insecta; Coleoptera; Carabidae.